UGGCUAUUAAACUUAUAUGAAUUCAUACCAAAAAUUAAUAUAAUACAUGAAAACUUAAUUAAUAAGAUAGACAUUUUUGAAAAUAAUUAUUUAGAAGCAUUUGAAAAGGCACAGUAUAUCAAUUAUGAAUUAUUAUAUACAAAAAAAGCAGAAGAAAAACAAAACAAAAAAACAAACAAAAAUCAUAACGUUAGUUGUUCAUCUAACAUGGAAUAUAAAAUACCAUUACACGAUAUAAGAGACUAUUUAUAUGACUUAAAUUUGAAACGGCAAAAAGAUCAUACAAACAGGUAUGACAUCGAUUGUGGUGACAAAUAUGAUGAUCUAACACAAGCCAAACACAUAGGCUUAAGGUAUAAUGACUAUUUUUUUAUACUGACAAAUAAAAAAAAAACUGUGCAUACAAAACACAACAUAAUAUCCACAUAUAUAGAACAGGAUGUCAACGAUACUAUAAAAGAUAUAUUACUACACGAAAACUAUUUUUUCAAUUAUACCUUCAAACAAAUAAAUAAAGACAAAAAUAUUAAAAAGUUGUUGUUUACAAAGAAAGUAAGCGAUAUAGAAAAGGCAUCCGAAACUGUCAAUGCAAGUGCAACUACUUCUGUAAACAAUAAUAAAAUUUUUCCCAAUACCUACAUCUACAACCACAAACAAUCAAACGAAUUAAACAUGCAAAGAGAUCAACCCUAUUCUAAUUAUAAUAAAACACAAAACAAACAACAAAAUGACAACGAACUAAACCAGUCGUCAUCUACUACAUAUAAUCAUAUAAAUAAUGACGUUAGUUGUAAAAACUGUUAUCAUAUGAAAAACAUUGAUUAUAUUGCUUAUAUGAAAGAAGUUUGUAUCCAUGACAACAAUGCAUAUUUUCACAUAGAUAUAGAAUUUAAUUGUUUUGAGUUAUGGAUAUCCCUAGACCCAAUUAGAAUCCCACGAAAAAAAAACUCUUACUUAAUGAAUAAUGAUAAUAAAUAUAGUAAUUUUUCUUAUAAUAGCAACAUAAGUAACAAUAUAGAAAACGUAUUUCAUCAUAAUGUUAAAAACAUUAUGUACAAAAAUGGAUAUGUAAAAAGUGGAAGUAAAGUAUUACACACAAAAUUAAAUAAAAAAAAAACAAACAAACGAACACAAAAGGGACGAGCACAAAAUAUAGGCAAAAAAAAACUAAAUCAUGGAGAGCUGGAAAAAACAAGAACAAAUAAAAUUGUAGAAAAAAUAAAACACUAUAAACAUGCAAAUGUAGAUAACCCCUAUGUGUUAGUCACAAGAGGAUGUCUAAAAGGUGUGAUAUUUUAUUUAUCUUAUAAUAAAAAGUCGGAUAAAGAAACGGCCGAACCAGCUAAAAAAAGCUUUGAAACCCAGUAUAGCGCUUCGAAUAUCGAAAGAC
RNAcentral lists this long non-coding RNA (1390 nucleotides) under Piliocolobus tephrosceles (Ugandan red Colobus). RNAcentral's name for it is "lncRNA (ENSPTEG00000018271.1)". The record is from RNAcentral. Lineage: Eukaryota; Metazoa; Chordata; Mammalia; Primates; Cercopithecidae.